GGAAUUGUGGCUCAGUGGCAGAGCACUUGCCUUGCAUGUAUGAGGCACUGGGUUUGACCCACAGCACCA
Molecule: transfer RNA, 69 nt
Filed under: Marmota marmota marmota (Alpine marmot)
Lineage: Eukaryota; Metazoa; Chordata; Mammalia; Rodentia; Sciuridae
Also listed under: 1 other name
Rfam family: tRNA
About the family: Transfer RNA (tRNA) molecules are approximately 80 nucleotides in length.
Source: Rfam by way of RNAcentral